UACAGAGGGUGCAAGCGUUGUUCGGAAUUACUGGGCGUAAAGCGCGUGUAGGCGGCGUCGUUAGUCGGAUGUGAAAGCCCUCGGCUCAACCGAGGAAGUGCAUCCGAUACUGCGAUGCUUGAGUGUUGGAGGGGGUGGCGGAAUUCCCGGUGUAGAGGUGAAAUUCGUAGAUAUCGGGAGGAACACCUGUGGCGAAGGCGGCCACCUGGACAACACUGACGCUGAGACGCGAAAGCGUGGGUAGCAAACAGG
RNAcentral lists this ribosomal RNA (252 nucleotides) under uncultured bacterium. RNAcentral's name for it is "partial 16S ribosomal RNA". It matches the Rfam family "Bacterial small subunit ribosomal RNA", at positions 524 to 776 of the family's 1533-position model. The record is from RNAcentral.